AACAGGAUUAGAUACCCUGGUAGUCCACGCCCUAAACGAUGUCUACUAGUUGUCGGGUUUUAAUUAACUUGGUAACGCAGCUAACGCGUGAAGUAGACCGCCUGGGGAGUACGGUCGCAAGAUUAAAACUCAAAGGAAUUGACGGGGACCCGCACAAGCGGUGGAUGAUGUGGAUUAAUUCGAUGCAACGCGAAAAACCUUACCUACCCUUGACAUGUACGGAAGGCCGGAGAGAUUUGGCUGUGCUCGAAAGAGAACCGUAACACAGGUGCUGCAUGGCUGUCGUCAGCUCGUGUCGUGAGAUGUUGGGUUAAGUCCCGCAACGAGCGCAACCCUUGUCAUUAGUUGCUACGAAAGGGCACUCUAAUGAGACUGCCGGUGACAAACCGGAGGAAGGUGGGGAUGACGUCAAGUCCUCAUGGCCCUUAUGGGUAGGGCUUCACACGUCAUACAAUGGUACAUACAGAGCGCCGCCAACCCGCGAGGGGGAGCUAAUCGCAGAAAGUGUAUCGUAGUCCGGAUUGUAGUCUGCAACUCGACUACAUGAAGUUGGAAUCGCUAGUAAUCGCGGAUCAGCAUGUCGCGGUGAAUACGUUCCCGGGUCUUGUACACACCGCCCGUCACACCAUGGGAGCGGGUUUUACCAGAAGUAGGUAGCUUAACCGCAAGGAGGGCGCUUACCACGGUAGGAUUCGUGACUGGGGUGAAGUCGUAACAAGGUAGCCGUA
RNAcentral lists this ribosomal RNA (728 nucleotides) under uncultured endophytic bacterium. RNAcentral's name for it is "bacterial SSU rRNA". It matches the Rfam family "Bacterial small subunit ribosomal RNA", at positions 771 to 1504 of the family's 1533-position model. The record is from RNAcentral.